This 497-nucleotide ribosomal RNA is filed under the name uncultured bacterium. RNAcentral describes it as "partial 16S ribosomal RNA". It matches the Rfam family "Bacterial small subunit ribosomal RNA", at positions 28 to 507 of the family's 1533-position model. The record is from RNAcentral.
GAUGAACGCUGGCGGCGUGCCUAAUACAUGCAAGUCGAGCGAACAGACGAGGAGCUUGCUCCUCUGACGUUAGCGGCGGACGGGUGAGUAAAACGUGGAUAACCUCCCUUUAAAACUGGGAUAACUUCGGGAAACCGGAGCUAAUACCGGAUAAUAUAUUGAACCGCAUGGUUCAAUAGUGAAAGACGGUUUUGCUGUCCCUUAUAGAUGGAUCCGCGCCGCUUUAGCUAGUUGGUAAGGUAACGGCUUACCAAGGCGACGAUGCGUAGCCGACCUGAGAGGGUGAUCGGCCACACUGGAACUGAGACACGGUCCAGACUCCUACGGGAGGCAGCAGUAGGGAAUCUUCCGCAAUGGGCGAAAGCCUGACGGAGCAACGCCGCGUGAGUGAUGAAGGUCUUCGGAUCGUAAAACUCUGUUAUUAGGGAAGAACAAAUGUGUAAGUAACUAUGCACGUCUUGACGGUACCUAAUCAGAAAGCCACGGCUAACUACGUG